UGGUUCUCAGCCAGGAGACCACUACGCUCACAUCGUAGGGGUCGCUGGUUCGAGUCCAGCAGCGACCA
RNAcentral lists this transfer RNA (68 nucleotides) under Gemmatimonadota bacterium. Its description in RNAcentral is "tRNA-Val". The record is from RNAcentral. Lineage: Bacteria; Pseudomonadati; Gemmatimonadota.